Phytophthora infestans T30-4 is the source of this 71-nucleotide transfer RNA. It matches the Rfam family "tRNA". From Rfam's summary of the family: Transfer RNA (tRNA) molecules are approximately 80 nucleotides in length. Lineage: Eukaryota; Oomycota; Peronosporomycetes; Peronosporales; Peronosporaceae. The record is from Rfam.
GACAGUGUAGCUCAAUGGAUAGAGCGCAGGGUCUUGCCCUGAGAAUGUUGGUUCGACUCCAACCGCUGUCA